GGGCCCGCACAAGCGGUGGAGUAUGUGGUUUAAUUCGAUGCAACGCGAAGAACCUUACCAGGGUUUGACAUCCUGCGAAUCUCUUGGAAACGGGAGAGUGCCUUCGGGAACGCAGUGACAGGUGGUGCAUGGCUGUCGUCAGCUCGUGUCGUGAGAUGUUGGGUUAAGUCCCGCAACGAGCGCAACCCACGUCUUUAGUUGCCAGCAUUUAGUUGGGCACUCUAGAGAGACUGCCGGUGAUAAACCGGAGGAAGGUGUGGAUGACGUCAAGUCAUCAUGCCCCUUACAUCCUGGGCUACACACGUACUACAAUGCUACGGACAAAGGGCAGCAAGUUCGCGAGGACAAGCAAAUCCCAUAAAGCCAGUCUCAGUUCGGAUUGGAGUCUGCAACUCGACUCCAUGAAGCUGGAGUUGCUAGUAAUCCC
Molecule: ribosomal RNA, 427 nt
Filed under: uncultured bacterium
Lineage: Bacteria
Description: bacterial SSU rRNA
Rfam family: Bacterial small subunit ribosomal RNA
Source: RNAcentral